Molecule: long non-coding RNA, 3848 nt
Organism: Numida meleagris (helmeted guineafowl)
Lineage: Eukaryota; Metazoa; Chordata; Aves; Galliformes; Numididae
Exons: 4
Source: RefSeq, a predicted model, not a curated record
AUGGCACUAAGAAACUCUAAAAAGUAGAAAGGUUAGCUUGCAUGAAAAUAUUUUAGCAAUUUGAAUACAAGAUCCUGAAAGUUCUUUAGAACACUUGGUUAAAGAGAAAAGAAAAAGAGUGGAUCUGGUUUGCUUAUACCCACAGGGGCCAAUUGCAAUAUCUUUCGACAUAGAACAAAGUGAUUUCUCUCUGAAAGAUAGGCAAAGUGAAAAUCGAGUUAAAAACCACAGCUAAACUGUAACAAGAUACACUCAAGAAUGAAAAAAAAAGAAAGGUGUUGUCUGAGCCCGAUCCUGCAAAUCAUUUCUCCAGGCAGCCCUCGCAUGCAAGGGAUCCCAGGCAUAGCAAAAAGACUGCGGGUUUGACUGGCUGCAACUAAGUGGCAUACAGAACUGAAUGUAAAUUCUCACCAAACUGAUGAUUGAAGUGGACUUGUUUGGAUUAAAGCUUAAAGAGCAGAAUGUGUGUACCCAAACAGUUCUUUCUGGAGAACGAAGAGUUGACUGAAAGUAGGAAUGAAAAAGGGAAAUAUUCCACAUGGCCUGCUGAUCCUGCUCCUCAGUUCCUGCAAAGAAAUGCAUCUAUUCCUCCUCAACACCCCUCAAUUUGAUGGUACUGGCAUUCAGGAUCUGAAGCUCCGUAAAUAUAUGUGUGUGUGUAAAUAUAUACAUGCAUGUAUUUCUUUUUCUUAGUAUUUGUAGUCCUGGCAAAUCUAACAGCCAAAAAGGAUUUAUCAGCCAUAGAGCAAGCUGGAACUGAAAACCAUGGAGGUACUUCAGUGAUUCCAAGCUUAAAGGAAGCAUACUUUGAGACACAUUUUCCUGUACUCCAGACACUUUCUAAGAAACUUUCUAAGCUCAUUUUAUCUCUACUGACUUUUUAUAAAUCGUCACAUUUAUCAUUGCUCCUUUUUGCUCCUCUUUAUGUUUUUAUGUAAAUUUUAAACUAUAUUGCAAGUCAAUUGAUCUAAGUCCAUCUGCCUACAUAACUUUAUGAAAACCUAUGGCUAUUAGAGCCAUCAGAAAGUAACGAGAUCGAUGCAACUUUGGAAGGCUUCUGGUUCUCUAAGAGAAGAUUAUGAGUACUUCAAAAGCAGCACUUUGACGCUGGAAUCACAGGUCAAAUCUCAGCACAAUUCACUCAGUUCUUCAGCCUCCCAAAGUACCUAAUGGAAGUAAGCUUGGAACAUCAGGAUGAAAAUUUGAGAGAUGAGCACCUUCCAGCACUAAGUUAAAAUAUCUUCAAGAGUUCAGCCUACAGUAAGGUAUUGUGCUGAUGGUUCUGGACAAUAUUUCUCUUCCAAAUAACACAGCUCUUUCUCCCCACAGGAGAUUCUAUUUGAAAGUAGCCUGUGGAAACUAUAAAUAAAAUUAAUCAGUCAACCAUUUUGCCUACAAAUAAUUGUAUAUGCGGAAAUAUGCCUUCAAUUGUCAAGUACCCCUUCCAGGGGAAAAAAAUCAAAAAUUAGAGCCUUGCAUAUUUGGAUUGCUCAGACAGAUAAAAAAAAAAAAAUCAAUUUGCUUUUAGAAGGAAAAUAAGAGGCUUUAAAACUACUGUUUCUGACGAGCAGUACAUUCUGGUCUUAGGUUGGUAAAGAUUUUGAAUGAUUGUUUUAACCAUAGUAGGCAAACCAGUUUAUUCAAAAUGACAGGAUUAAGUAAGACAUAUUCUUUCACUGAUACAUGAAAGGGGAUGACAGAAUAUACCUUUCUAACCAGAAUCUUAGUUCGGACAAUGAAACAUCUACUUUUCCAAAAUUUAAUUCACAGGAUAAAGUCAGAGGUCAGAAAAAAUAAAAGCCAUUGAAUCCAAGUUACUAUCAUUGUUGACCUCUCAUAGUCACUUCAGAUAGACUGAGAUCUGAAUAGCUCUGAAAGAAGUUAUGUGUUCUUGUUUUUAAACGAUUCCACAGCUAUGAUUUCUUUAUUUGCAAAGUAUAAAGACAAGUAUGGAAUAAAUAAGUCAAGCCACUGUGAUUUUUUUUUUCUAAAAAUGAAUUGAAAUAACUAGAACAAUGAAAUAAAUUUUAAUGGAAUUAUCAUUUGCUAAUGAUUUUGCUACAUUGAACCUUGCAUUUAACCUCUAUCCACUAACUGGAGCAAAUUGGUGAGUUCUCUGUUUUCUUUUUUCCUACCUUUUGUUAAAAUUCCCUCUACCUGUAGCCUUUAAGUUCCAUCUAAACCACAAGAGAACAUAAAACACAUCAGCCAUCACCUCCGUAUUAUUUAAUAUUCAAAAUAGAAAUAGCUAUGCAGUCGUUACUUUGUACAUUGGACAUACCUUACAUGUAUUUCAGUGAUGGUGAGUCCUCAAAGGUAAAAAGAGAGAAGGGAAGGCAAGGCAAGGCAAAGGUAUUAAAAUCUCAAAAUAAUAUGUUAGGCUCAGGGCAGAUGGAUGGAAAAAAAAAAAAAGUGUGUCUCUUUCUGCAGGAGGUAGGAUGCUACAGAUUUACAGGACUAUUUGAAAUAUCUCAGUACAUUCCCUUUAUCUUUGAAACACCUUACAUGAAGGAAUGCUAUGCAAAAGGUUAUGGUCUGAUUCCUGUAUACUAGUUUAUGGUAUUCCCAUUACUCUGGAGAUUUUAUAGAAAUUUGAGAAAUCCAUGUUCAUGCAACAUGUAACAGGCAACUAACUUUCUCACUCUUCUGUUGGCAUAAUUUGUUUUUAGCACCUUAUCCAAAGAACUGUAAUGAAGGAAGCUAAUACAACUCAUUAUAUAUAGAAGCUUGGUAACUUCAGUCAUUAGCAUAUCUGAAGUUUGUUCUGUGUAUUAGCACCAUGAAUACUAGGCUGAUGUGUAGCAAAGAGCACCUGUCAAAACAAAAGAAGUGUUUCAUGCCUCACAAGUUUAAGCCCCAGGUAAGAAACCCAGUCUUGUAGGUAGGCUGAAAAAAUGUUGCAACCUGAAACCAAAGAGACUUGUAAGAGGUAAAAUGAGAUCCCUCUGGGUGCCAGUAGGCUUCUGUUUGCUGUGAUUAAACCCUCUUUGUUUCAUUAGGUACGUCAGUGCAAAAAACAAACAACCAGAUCAAGAUAAAGGCUUGCAACACAUCUUUCUCUUUCCUUCCUGUGACAAUUGCCACCGUUUUCCAUGGACAAGCUUUAAAGAAAUGGCUUUGCUUAGAUAAAAUUGACAAGACCUCUGUGCAGCUGUACAAGACAGCUUCUGGCUUUAAAAAAUGUGUGAAGCACUUAUGUCAAUGACCUGAUUAGAUGAUAAGUAUGCUUACUUCCUUUUCUCUCUAAUUACUUUUCUCUCUUGAAGAAGGUAUCUAGAAUUGCAUGAAGCCUAGACUAAGUCUGAAAGUUUAACAUCAGUGGAAAUUCACUGGAAAAAUCAAUCAUUUUUACAGUACAUGAGCCUCAACAGAAUUAGAGUUGUGUUGUAACUCUGGUUUGAGCCAAAUGCUUGCUUCAGCAAUUGUUUUAAAUGUUAUCAUUAAUACAGCAUAGAGUUUCCAUGUGUAAACAAAAAGAUAGUGGUAGCAUUCUGGCUACAUAAAACUGGCAGGAAUUGGGGUCAUAUAAACAUACCUUUUAAUUAUCUCUUUGAAUUAAGAACAUCAUUCAGAGAUACUUAUUACCAUCUACUGCAUUGGAAAGUACUUACAGUUUGUGCUUAGGGCAACUAUCUUUGUACUUCAUAAAAUUAAAGGAGUUUUCAGUGUUUCCUCCUCCCUACCCUAUGUUCUACAAUUGAUACAGAUAUGCUACCUCUAGUCAGCAAAAUAUAUGUACAGGACAAAAAUCAUUGCUGAAUUAUUGUAGAACUAAUUGCAGUAACAGUUUGUGUUAUUGAAGUUAAGCUGAUGCUCAGCUUAGGUAUCCUUGAUGAGAUGAGGUAAGG